UGGGGAAUUUUGGACAAUGGGGGCAACCCUGAUCCAGCAAUGCCGCGUGUGUGAAGAAGGCCUUCGGGUUGUAAAGCACUUUUGUCCGGGAAGAAAUCGCACCUGAUAAUACCGGGUGUGGAUGACGGUACCGGAAGAAUAAGGACCGGCUAACUACGUGCCAGCAGCCGCGGUAAUACGUAGGGUCCAAGCGUUAAUCGGAAUUACUGGGCGUAAAGCGUGCGCAGGCGGUUGUGCAAGACCGAUGUGAAAUCCCCGGGCUUAACCUGGGAAUUGCAUUGGUGACUGCACGGCUAGAGUGUGUCAGAGGGGGGUAGAAUUCCACGUGUAGCAGUGAAAUGCGUAGAGAUGUGGAGGGAUACCGAUGGCGAAGGCAGCCCCCUGGGAUAACACUGACGCUCAUGCACGAAAGCGUGGGGAGCAAACAGG
RNAcentral lists this ribosomal RNA (429 nucleotides) under bacterium. RNAcentral's name for it is "partial 16S ribosomal RNA". It matches the Rfam family "Bacterial small subunit ribosomal RNA", at positions 355 to 776 of the family's 1533-position model. The record is from RNAcentral.